This 440-nucleotide ribosomal RNA is filed under the name uncultured bacterium. RNAcentral's name for it is "partial 16S ribosomal RNA". It matches the Rfam family "Bacterial small subunit ribosomal RNA", at positions 338 to 795 of the family's 1533-position model. The record is from RNAcentral.
CCUACGGGUGGCAGCAGUGGGGAAUAUUGCACAAUGGGGGAAACCCUGAUGCAGCGACGCCGCGUGAGUGAAGAAGUAUUUCGGUAUGUAAAGCUCUAUCAGCAGGGAAGAAAAUGACGGUACCUGACUAAGAAGCCCCGGCUAACUACGUGCCAGCAGCCGCGGUAAUACGUAGGGGGCAAGCGUUAUCCGGAUUUACUGGGUGUAAAGGGAGCGUAGACGGCAGCACAAGUCUGGAGUGAAAUGCCGGGGCUUAACCCCGGAACUGCGUUGGAAACUGUGCAGCUAGAGUGCAGGAGAGGUAAGUGGAAUUCCUGGUGUAGCGGUGAAAUGCGUAGAUAUGAGGAGGAACACCAGUGGCGAAGGCGGCUUACUGGACUGUAACUGACGUUGAGGCUCGAAAGCGUGGGGAGCAAACAGGAUUAGAUACCCUUGUAGUC